AUUGAACGCUGGCGGCAUGCUUUACACAUGCAAGUCGAACGGUAACAGGCCGUAAGGUGCUGAGGAGAGGCGAACGGGUGAGUAAUGCGACGGAACGUGGCCAGUCGUGGGGGAUAACGCAGCGAAAGCAGUGCUAAUACCGCAUACGAUCUAUGGAUGAAAGCGGGGGACCGUAAGGCCUCGCGCGAUUGGAGCGGCCGAUGUUAGAUUAGAUGGUUGGUGGGGUAAAUGCUCACCAAGCCAACGAUCUGUAGCUGGUUUGAGAGGACGACCAGCCACACUGGGACUAAGACACGGCCCAGACUCCUACGGGAGGCAGCAGUGGGGAAUUUUGGACAAUGGGCGCAGGCCUGAUCCAGCAAUGCCGCGUGCAGGAAGGAGGCCUUCGGGUUGUAAACUGCUUUUGUACGGAACGAAACGGCGAGCUCUAAUACAGUUUGCUAAUGACGGUACCGUAAGAAUAAGCACCGGCUAACUACGUGCCAGCAGCCGCAGUAA
This 498-nucleotide ribosomal RNA is filed under the name uncultured bacterium. Its description in RNAcentral is "partial 16S ribosomal RNA". It matches the Rfam family "Bacterial small subunit ribosomal RNA", at positions 30 to 523 of the family's 1533-position model. The record is from RNAcentral.